GAUGAAGAACGUAGCGAAAUGCGAUAAGUAAUGUGAAUUGCAGAAUUCAGUGAAUCAUCGAAUCUUUGAACGCACAUUGCGCCCCCUGGUAUUCCGGGGGGCAUGCCUGUCCGAGCGUCAUUACAACCCUCAAGCUCAGCUUGGUAUUGGGCCCCGCCGACCCGGCGGGCCCUAAAGUCAGUGGCGGUGCCGUCCGGCUCCGAGCGUAGUAAUUCUUCUCGCUCUGGAGGUCCGGUCGUGUGCUCGCCAGCAACCCCCAAUUUUUUCAGGUUGACCUCGGAUCAGGUAGGGAUACCCGCUGAACUUAAGCAUAUCAAUAAGCGGAGGA
This 328-nucleotide unclassified non-coding RNA is filed under the name soil metagenome. RNAcentral's name for it is "partial contains 5.8S ribosomal RNA, internal transcribed spacer 2, and large subunit ribosomal RNA". The stretch from base 1 to 120 matches the Rfam family "5.8S ribosomal RNA", at positions 35 to 154 of the family's 154-position model. The record is from RNAcentral.